Molecule: long non-coding RNA, 601 nt
Organism: Anopheles merus
Lineage: Eukaryota; Metazoa; Arthropoda; Insecta; Diptera; Culicidae
Exons: 3
Source: RefSeq, a predicted model, not a curated record
CACUCAGUAUGAGGUGAUGCAAAAAGCUGUAGUGUGAGUGUGAAUUUGAAAAAAAAACUCCUUAAUUUGAAUCAUGAGCUCAUGAAAACUGUCCGGAAUAUGAAUCAAAAUAUCGUAUCGUAAUUAUUGGAAAUCUUUAUUUUUUCUACUUAAAUGUAGAAAGUUUGCUUCGCUAAAGUGAGUUAUACAGAGGUUUGACCGAUUGAAAUUGAAUAAGUAAGAAAAUAUGAAGUCCCAAAUAUGCCUUAAGUGUCCGUCAAUCGAAGCAAUACGCUCGAACGGUUCAGUAAGAGGGUUUCGUCUGCCUAGCAUAGCGGUAUUCAAGUGAGCUCAAAGAUCCUUCGCUUCUGUCCGCGCUGACCAGCGUAAGCCUUAAAAUACACAACAAAGAACCACUUAACUGUUGCUCGUAAAAGCUAAGCACAUGCAGCACAGGCACACCGGUCAGCUAAUGGCUUUGUUGCUCUUUGUUCUAUUAUUAAUUGCGUUGGUUUUGCCGGUUCUUGGUAGUAUUUGUACGGUUUUAGCUCCACAGCUUUGGUCCUUCCAGACGGUGAAGACAGCUUUUUGCAGCUUCCCUCUCAACGCGCUUUUCGGAAGA